RNAcentral lists this ribosomal RNA (301 nucleotides) under uncultured bacterium. RNAcentral describes it as "partial 16S ribosomal RNA". It matches the Rfam family "Bacterial small subunit ribosomal RNA", at positions 509 to 807 of the family's 1533-position model. The record is from RNAcentral.
CAGCAGCCGCGGGAAUACGAAGGGUGCAAGCGUUAAUCGGAAUUACUGGGCGUAAAGCGUGCGCAGGCGGUGAGUUAAGUCUGCUGUGAAAUCCCCGGGCUCAACCUGGGAAUGGCAGUGGAUACUGGCUCGCUAGAGUGUGUCAGAGGAUGGUGGAAUUCCCGGUGUAGCGGUGAAAUGCGUAGAGAUCGGGAGGAACAUCAGUGGCGAAGGCGGCCAUCUGGGACAACACUGACGCUGAGGCACGAAAGCGUGGGGAGCAAACAGGAUUAGAUACCCCCGUAGUCCCUGUCUCUUAUAC